RNAcentral lists this ribosomal RNA (492 nucleotides) under uncultured bacterium. RNAcentral describes it as "partial 16S ribosomal RNA". It matches the Rfam family "Bacterial small subunit ribosomal RNA", at positions 29 to 507 of the family's 1533-position model. The record is from RNAcentral.
AGUGAACGCUGGCGGUAGGCCUAACACAUGCAAGUCGAACGGCAGCACAGUAAGAGCUUGCUCUUACGGGUGGCGAGUGGCGGACGGGUGAGGAAUACAUCGGAAUCUACUUUUUCGUGGGGGAUAACGUAGGGAAACUUACGCUAAUACCGCAUACGACCUACGGGUGGAAGCAGGGGAUCUUCGGACCUUGCGCGAUUGAAUGAGCCGAUGUCGGAUUAGCUAGUUGGCGGGGUAAAGGCCCACCAAGGCGACGAUCCGUAGCUGGUCUGAGAGGAUGAUCAGCCACACUGGAACUGAGACACGGUCCAGACUCCUACGAGAGGCAGCAGUGGGGAAUAUUGGACAAUGGGCGCAAGCCUGAUCCAGCCAUACCGCGUGGGUGAAGAAGGCCUUCGGGUUGUAAAGCCCUUUUGUUGGGAAAGAAAAGCAGCAGGUUAAUACCCCGCUGUUCUGACGGUACCCAAAGAAUAAGCACCGGCUAACUUCGUG